AUUAAUUCCGCGUGAGGGAUAGCAGUGAAAAUCCCACGCUUUUUAGCGUGGAUUGUAACGGAUAGCCCGACCCGAC
Molecule: small RNA, 76 nt
Filed under: Flavobacterium weaverense
Lineage: Bacteria; Pseudomonadati; Bacteroidota; Flavobacteriia; Flavobacteriales; Flavobacteriaceae
Description: Flavo-1 RNA
Rfam family: Flavo-1 RNA
Source: RNAcentral